UAACGCUGGCGGCAGGCGUUAACACAUGCAAGUCGAGCGGUAGGCACGGGGGAGGCUUGCGUCCCUGGGGUGACGGAGCGGCGGACGGGUGGAGUAAUGUCUGGGAAACUGCCUGAUGGAGGGGGAGUAACUACUGGAAACGGUAGCUAAUACCGCAUAACGUCGUAAGACCAAAGAGGGGGACCUUCGGGCCUCUUGCCAUCAGAUGUGCCCAGAUGGGAUUAGCUAGUAGGUGGGGUAAUGGCUCACCUAGGCGACGAUCCCUAGCUGGUCUGAGAGGAUGACCAGCCACACUGGAACUGAGACACGGUCCAGACUCCUACGGGAGGCAGCAGUGGGGAAUAUUGCACAAUGGGCGCAAGCCUGAUGCAGCCAUGCCGCGUGUGUGAAGAAGGCCUUCGGGUUGUAAAGCACUUUCAGCGAGGAGGAAGGUGGUGAGCUUAAUACGCUCAUCAAUUGACGUUACUCGCAGAAGAAGCACCGGCUAACUCCGUG
Molecule: ribosomal RNA, 495 nt
Filed under: uncultured Serratia sp.
Lineage: Bacteria; Pseudomonadati; Pseudomonadota; Gammaproteobacteria; Enterobacterales; Yersiniaceae
Description: bacterial SSU rRNA
Rfam family: Bacterial small subunit ribosomal RNA
Source: RNAcentral